UACGGAGGGUGCGAGCGUUGUCCGGAUUCACUGGGCGUAAAGGGCGCGUAGGCGGAUUGAUCAGUCGGACGUGAAAGAUUGGGGCUCAGCCCUGAUAAGCGCCCGGGACGGUUGAUCUUGAGCGUGGUAGAGGGAAACGGAAUGCCGGGUGUAGUGGUGAAAUGCGUAGAGAUCCGGCGGAACACCGGUGGCGAAGGCGGUUUCCUGGGCCAAGGCUGACGCUGAGGCGCGAGAGCGUGGGGAGCGAACCGG
This 252-nucleotide ribosomal RNA is filed under the name uncultured bacterium. RNAcentral's name for it is "partial 16S ribosomal RNA". It matches the Rfam family "Bacterial small subunit ribosomal RNA", at positions 524 to 776 of the family's 1533-position model. The record is from RNAcentral.